This 1017-nucleotide long non-coding RNA is filed under the name Equus caballus (horse). Its description in RNAcentral is "lncRNA (ENSECAG00000028077.3)". Lineage: Eukaryota; Metazoa; Chordata; Mammalia; Perissodactyla; Equidae. The record is from RNAcentral.
GCUGGAUGGUUACAUACAGUUUUGCACAGACAUCUGGAAAGUUUGAUCUGGGAGAGACCACAUCACAGAAAAAUUGUUACUGUCUGAGGGGACACUGGUGAUAAAAACCUUAAAACUCAUAUCUUAACUAAAUCUUACAUGUGCUCAACCUGCCACCUUUUUUGUCAUCACUGGAGUGAAUAGUCUAAUGUGUGCCUAUGAAAUAUUACACCAGACAUAAGGUUAUUAAGCUGCGGGAAAACACCUGCAGGUGUAAACCAUGUCAAGUGUUUAGAACAGUGCCUGCACACAAGCCAUGACCGAAAAAUGUUCAACUUAUAGCCACGCUCUGGUGCCCUCAAGAAGUUUGUUUAGAGGGCAAAAGUAGAAGAAGAGCAGCAGCUGCGGGGGCCUCAUGUGAACUUGGACAAGGGACAUCUCUGCACCACGCUAUUCAGAAAGAAGCCCAGAGGAGUCUUCCAGAUGUGCUGACCCUGGGCUUCUGCACCACUGCAACACCUGUAUGGACUCAUUUCCCGGAUUCUGUUGUCCUGUGGCUGCAUCCUGUCCUCACCUUGAAGCGCUCAUGGACCGUGGCAGGGAGAAAUAUUAAUGCGUCGAGCAUGUUGGAAGGCACAAAGGGAAAUGAGCCGGCAUCUUCAUUGCACCACUUUAAGGAAUGAGACUUUGUGCUGCUGCUUAGAGGGUUUUUAAAACGCGAGGACAUACCAUAUACAACAUAAUUUAAAGGCGCUAUCCAGUCCCCCUGAGGUCCAUUGGAGCGGAACUCCUUGGUCUGGCUGGUGUUUUAACUGUUCUGCUCAAGUAACUGCCAGCAAAUAAUAAAUAAGAAGGCCUUAUCUGUUAGUCUCUGUUUAAUUGGCACUGUUAAAUACAUAAACAGAAUCCUCCCACUCCUUCAAAUGCUAGCACUUCCCUUCGGGUCAAAUCAGUGGUUUUUGUAGUCCUGGCAGCUUAAUAAAGUACUGCUUGAUCAGAAUUAAAGUUUGAUUUGGAGGAAUGCUGAAUUUUCAUUUA